AACCUGAUCUGUUGUUCAGGUGCAUUUAAUGCUUAAAAGGGAACGCCUGUGAAAAUCAGGGACGGGCCCGCCGCUGUAAGUGGGGACCAAAGCUUUAAAAAACGCCACUGUCAAUUAAAAGCCGUAAAUAAAGGCUUGAAAAUCGGCGGGAAGGCAGAAGCCAAAAGGAUGAUCCACAAGUCAGAAGACCUGCCGGACACAUUGAUGUAUU
RNAcentral lists this non-coding RNA (211 nucleotides) under Desulfobacterales bacterium. The record is from RNAcentral. Lineage: Bacteria; Pseudomonadati; Thermodesulfobacteriota; Desulfobacteria; Desulfobacterales.